GACGAACGCUGGCGGCGUGCUUAACACAUGCAAGUCGAACGAUGAACCCGGAGCUUGCUCCGGUGGAUUAGUGACGAACGGGUGAGUAACACGCGAGUAACCUGCCCUUGACUCUGGGAUAACUGCGGGAAACUGUAGCUAAUACCGGAUACGACCCUCGGCGGCAUCGCCAGGGGGUGGAAAGAAUUUCGGUCAAGGAUGGACUCGCGGCCUAUCAGCUAGUUGGUGAGGUAACGGCUCACCAAGGCGACGACGGGUAGCCGGCCUGAGAGGGUGACCGGCCACACUGGGACUGAGACACGGCCCAGACUCCUACGGGAGGCAGCAGUGGGGAAUAUUGCACAAUGGGCGCAAGCCUGAUGCAGCAACGCCGCGUGAGGGAUGACGGCCUUCGGGUUGUAAACCUCUUUCAGCACCGACGAAGCGCAAGUGACGGUAGGUGCAGAAGAAGGACCGGCCAACUACGUGCCAGCCGCCGCAGUAA
Molecule: ribosomal RNA, 484 nt
Filed under: uncultured bacterium
Lineage: Bacteria
Description: partial 16S ribosomal RNA
Rfam family: Bacterial small subunit ribosomal RNA
Source: RNAcentral